GCCUCAUAGACUGGGACAACUAUUGGAAACGAUAGCUAAUACCGGAUAACAGCAUUAACUGCAUGGUUGAUGUUUAAAAGUUGGUUUUUGCUAACACUAUGAGAUGGCUUUGCGGUGCAUUAGCUAGUUGGUGGGGGUAAAGGGCCUACCAAGGCGACGAUGCAUAGCCGACCUGAGAGGGUGAUCGGCCACACUGGGACUGAGACACGGCCCAGACUCCUACGGGAGGCAGCAGGG
Molecule: ribosomal RNA, 237 nt
Filed under: uncultured Gemella sp.
Lineage: Bacteria; Bacillati; Bacillota; Bacilli; Caryophanales; Gemellaceae
Description: partial 16S ribosomal RNA
Rfam family: Bacterial small subunit ribosomal RNA
Source: RNAcentral